Oryza sativa Japonica Group (Japanese rice) is the source of this 68-nucleotide non-coding RNA. The record is from RefSeq and is a predicted model, not a curated record. NCBI's taxonomy places the organism in Eukaryota, Viridiplantae, Streptophyta, Magnoliopsida, Poales, Poaceae.
CGGUGAAAUGCAUUGAGAUCGGAAAGAACACCAACGGCGAAAGCACUCUGCUGGGGAGAUCGGAAGAA